UAGAGUGCAGUGCGCGUUGAGGCAACUUGCACUGGAGUAACAGUAAAUCAGACCGAGCAGCCCUAGAAACCCCAGCAGUGAAACUGUAAACCUUAUUGCUUGUAUUUUUGGCCGCUGACAGGACAGCAACUCGGAUCCACUGCGGUCGUCUUUUCUCGGCGAGACUCAAGUGUUGUACGGCGAAGGGGAGCGACAACAAGAGCUGCAGCUGGGGGAGGACCGUUUUCCGCCUACUUUUUUCCUGCUAAUAUCUCAAUAUUAUAUCACACUGGAAAUGUCCGAAAACAAGCCGAAUGACGAGCCAAAGUUAUCCACGACAGACAGGGUGGUGAAAUCCGUCCCCUUCCCGCCUAGUCACCGCCUGACAGCUAAGGAGGUGUUCGACAGCGAGGGCAAGCCCAAGGUGGAUGUGCUGAAGGCCCACCUGACCAAGGAGGGGCGCGUGGAUGAGACGGUGGCGCUCAGGCUAAUUGGGGAGGGAGCAGCCAUUCUUCGCGCGGAGAAGAACCUGCUGGACAUUGAGGCUCCAGUGACAGUGUGCGGCGACAUCCAUGGACAGUUCUUUGACCUGAUGAAACUCUUCGAAGUGGGAGGCUCCCCCGCAUCUACACGCUACCUAUUCCUGGGGGACUAUGUCGACAGAGGGUAUUUCAGUAUUGAAUGUGUGCUGUACUUGUGGGCCUUAAAGAUCCUCUACCCCAAAACACUGUUCUUGCUGCGUGGGAACCAUGAAUGUAGACAUUUAACAGAGUAUUUCACAUUUAAGCAGGAAUGUAGAAUUAAGUAUUCAGAGAGGGUGUAUGACGCAUGUAUGGACGCCUUCGACUGCCUUCCCCUGGCUGCACUUAUGAACCAGCAGUUCCUGUGUGUACACGGAGGACUUUCUCCAGAAAUCACAAAUCUUGACGACAUCAGGAAACUAGACAGAUUCAAAGAGCCUCCAGCGUAUGGGCCUAUGUGCGAUCUGCUGUGGUCCGACCCCCUGGAGGACUUUGGAAAUGAAAAGACCCAGGAGCAUUUCACACACAACACAGUGCGAGGCUGCUCCUACUUCUAUAGCUACCCUGCCGUUUGCGACUUCCUACAUCACAAUAAUUUAUUAUCUAUCAUCCGGGCCCAUGAAGCGCAGGAUGCCGGAUAUCGCAUGUACAGAAAGAGUCAGACGACUGGCUUCCCAUCCCUUAUCACCAUUUUCUCCGCACCCAACUACCUUGAUGUCUACAACAACAAAGCGGCUGUACUGAAAUACGAGAACAACGUGAUGAACAUCCGACAGUUCAACUGCUCGCCUCACCCUUAUUGGCUACCCAACUUCAUGGACGUCUUUACCUGGUCGCUGCCCUUCGUUGGCGAGAAAGUGACCGAAAUGCUCGUCAAUGUCUUGAGCAUCUGUUCCAACGACGAGCUGACAACCGACGAGGAGCUGGACGGUGCCACGGCUUCUGCUCGCAAGGAAGUGAUCCGCAACAAGAUCCGCGCCAUCGGGAAGAUGGCCCGGGUAUUCUCUGUGCUCAGGGAGGAGAGUGAGAGCGUGCUGACGCUGAAGGGUCUCACCCCGACUGGCAUGCUACCGAGCGGCGUGCUGUCCGGCGGCAAAGAGAAGCUGCAGAACGAAACCGCAGGUAUAUUCAGUUGUGCAAGUAUCCCCGCUUUUCUUCCCCACCCGUUUUGUGAGAUCAGUUUAGUUUAGUCCCGCUCACCCUCUCAUGUUCAAUAUUGCAAACUCAAAAGGCUUUGAAAUGCACCGGUUUGAGUUGGACAAGUUCAGUAAACACGCUGACUAGUGUGGAGUUCAGCAGUAAGUAAACAUGUCUGGUGUACAGUAAGUGAGUAGAUUGUCACAGAUAGCCAGUAGUGAAUGAAAGAGGGAGUAACUGCCUUUUUAUUCAUUAAUAAAACAGGAAUCGGGGCAACUUUGCUCGCCUCCCACAAGGUAAAGAUUUUUUUUAAAUGAGACAAUGUGAAUAAAUGAACAGUGAAUGUGUUCAGAAGGCAAUCACUUUUAGAGUUUUGCAAUUGUAAUUGGGUUUCAUUAACCUUCAAGAGGUCCUUAAUUCCCUCCUUGGGACAAAAAAUGUCAGCUGCUUAAAAAUUUAAAUCAAAUAAAAUACUACACUGUAUAUGUUUUCCCACUUUAAACCAGUCAAUCUUUGAAAACUCCUUUAGCCUAAAAUAUCACAUAUUAAUUAUAUUUGAAAGGGAUCUUAACCCUCUAAAGACCUGUAACUUUAACACAUAAAUACAGAUUAAGCCAUUAUCAAUAAUAAUCUGAUUUAAAAUUGUAACACAUUUAACCCAUCUGCAGCAAAACAGUAAUAGUUUCCUUUUUUUAUUUACUUUUCAAGGGCAUUUUUCUUCCUAUUAUAAAUAUUAUUUGGCCCUAAGAUCAUUAAUUGGCAGGAACAUUGAUCGUUUUUCUACAGUCAGAUUUAAAACAAAAACUCUUAUUCAAGAAGCAUUUCCCAAAAAGCUGCUGUAAAAAGAUUAUAUAUUCAUAUUCUUUCUAUUUGAAAUGAGUCAGUUAUUUAAAACUACUGUACUUCAGUCUAAAAAUAUAAUAUAUAACAAUAUUAUUUAUACAAAGGAACAAGAGAAAGCUAAAAUAGUAACACAUUCACGCAUUAUUCAUUAUUAAUAGUGACACCCACUUAUCAUUUCAGUAGCAAGACACUAAGUUGAUUGCAUUAGUCAACAUGAAGGUUAAUGUGGGAUCAAAAAUGCCUUUUUAGUUAGAAAUAACUUUUUAUGUAGCUAGUUUUUAAACUUUAUUUAUAAAUAUCUUUUGGCAAAUUUCACCUAAAUCCAUUCAACGCAGCCCAAAUGUAAAAAAAUGAAGCUAAAGGCCCCAAUGAUUAUUUAAGGGUUAAACUACAGCAAAAGAAAAUGGACCUUUUUUGCACUGUUUGGAAACUUCCACGAUUGUUUUGCUUGGAGGUACAGCUCUCUACCUCAUGAUUGGAAUACUCAACUAAUGAUAAUCAUGUUAAAUACAAACCAUCACCAAAUUUGGAGUAUUGAAUUAUUUUAGCACGAAAACCUGGACAAAAACGUUGGAAACGAGCAAGGUUCUCAGAUUCCUGUGGCAACAUGGGAAGAAUCACAUGACCUCCCUCCUUCAGGCCCGGCGUGCUGCUCCGCUAUCAUUGGUAACGUCAUCAACCUCAUCAGUCUGUGUGUGUCUUCCUGUGACUUUCCAAUAAUUGACAUUGUUGUUUGUUUAGCAAUGGAAACAAACGGUAAGUUGGAAAUCCAUUUAAUGUAUCCUAUCAAAAAAAAGACACCUCCCACGUCCACUCAUUUUCAUCCCUGCUUCAAGAGACUACUUCGACUGGACGCCGACCCGUCUUGUCCCACACAUUGUCCCUCUGUCUUCCUCCUCCUUUCGCUAUACCGUAAUGAGGACGUGAUGAGUGUUGUCUCUUUGACUUGUUGUUGUUGGUGGGACACAAAAAUGACCUCCUCUUUGCUCACCUCUCUCAUUCGUUUUGCAACCCCCCUCUUCUUCUCUUCAGCUACUAUUGAAGCCAUUGAGGCUGACGAAGCCAUUAAAGGCUUUUCGCCCCAACACAAGAUCACCAGUUUCGCGGAGGCGAAGGGUCUGGACCGCAUCAACGAGAGGAUGCCGCCGCGACGGGAUGCCCUGCCCUCGGACGCCAGCCUCAACUCCCUC
Molecule: RNA transcript, 3670 nt
Organism: Entelurus aequoreus (snake pipefish)
Lineage: Eukaryota; Metazoa; Chordata; Actinopteri; Syngnathiformes; Syngnathidae
Gene name: protein phosphatase 3 catalytic subunit alpha
Exons: 14
Source: RefSeq, a predicted model, not a curated record